CAGAUUUCUUACAUAAUUCAUCGUGUUCCAGGUUUCACUUUAUUUUGGAAGAUGGAGCAGCGAAGUCUCCUGGAGAAUGAACAACUUCUACUUCUUCUUCUUCUGCAUUGUGAAAGUUGGAUGGAGUUCGGCGGGGCUGUAACCUGAGCUCAGGCCAUGGAGGUGGAUGUCUCCACAGAAGAGUCCAUGGACGUGGAUGUCUCCACAGAAGAGUCCAUGGACGUGGAUGACUCCACAGAAGAGUCCAUGGACGUGGAUGACUCCACAGAAGAGUCCAUGGACGUGCAGGGGACGCAUGCUGGUCAUCAACAACCUGGCAGCAUCAACCCCGUGGCACAAGCUGGCAUGUGUGGAUCCGCCACCAAACCUGCUCUGGAACAUCCAGGCCCUGCUAGUGGACUUCUUCUGGGACAAACUACAAAGGCACAGGAUCCUUCACCUGCCCAAGGAGGAGGGGGGGCAGGGGUUGGUCCUUAUAGCCAACAGAACUGCA
Ictalurus punctatus (channel catfish) is the source of this 493-nucleotide long non-coding RNA. Lineage: Eukaryota; Metazoa; Chordata; Actinopteri; Siluriformes; Ictaluridae. The record is from Ensembl.